Coccidioides immitis H538.4 is the source of this 1205-nucleotide ribosomal RNA. It matches the Rfam family "Eukaryotic small subunit ribosomal RNA". Lineage: Eukaryota; Fungi; Ascomycota; Eurotiomycetes; Onygenales; Onygenaceae. The record is from Rfam.
CAAUUUGUACGGUGAACUGCGAAUGGCUCAUUAAAUCCGUUAUCGUUUAUUUGAUAGUACCUUACUACAUGGAUACCCGUGGUAAUUCUAGAGCUAAUACAUGCUAAAAACCUCGACUUCGGAAGGGGUGUAUUUAUUAGAUAAAAAACCAAUGCCCUUCGGGGCUCUUUGGUGAUUCAUAAUAACUUGUCGAAUCGCAUGGCCUUGCGCUGGCGAUGGUUCAUUCAAAUUUCUGCCCUAUCAACUUUCGAUGGUAGGAUAGUGGCCUACCAUGGUGGCAACGGGUAACGGGGAAUUAGGGUUCGAUUCCGGAGAGGGAGCCUGAGAAACGGCCUACCACAUACAAGGAAGGCAGCAGGCGCGCAAAUUACCCAAUCCCAACACGGGGAGGUAGUGACAAUAAAUACUGAUACAGGGCUCUUUCGGGUCUUGUAAUUGGAAUGAGUACAAUUUAAAUCCCUUAACGAGGAACAAUUGGAGGGCAAGUCUGGUGCCAGCAGCCGCGGUAAUUCCAGCUCCAAUAGCGUAUAUUAAAGUUGUUGCAGUUAAAAAGCUCGUAGUUGAACCUUGGGUCUGGCUGGCCGGUCCGCUUCGCGGCGUGCACUGGUCCGGCUGGACCUUUCCUUCUGGGGAACCCUAUGGCCUUCACUGGCUGUAGGGGGAACCAGGACUUUUACUGUGAAAAAAUUAGAGUGUUCAAAGCAGGCCUUUGCUCGGAUACAUUAGCAUGGAAUAAUAGAAUAGGACGUGUGGUUCUAUUUUGUUGGUUUCUAGGACCGCCGUAAUGAUUAAUAGGGAUAGUCGGGGGCGUCAGUAUUCGGCUGUCAGAGGUGAAAUUCUUGGAUUUGCUGAAGACUAACUACUGCGAAAGCAUUCGCCAAGGAUGUUUUCAUUAAUCAGUGAACGAAAGUUAGGGGAUCGAAGACGAUCAGAUACCGUCGUAGUCUUAACCAUAAACUAUGCCGACUAGGGAUCGGAGGAGAACUUUUGAAUAACCCGUUUCGCCGCCUUACGAAGGAGUCGAGGUUUUUCGGGUUCUGGGGGGAGAGGGGCUGCAAAGCCUGAACUUAGAGGAAUUGACGGGAGGGCACCACCAGGGGGGGGAGCGUGCGGCCUUAUUUGGAUUCACCCGGGGAAAACUCCCACGCCCGAAUAAAUAAGAGAUUGGAAAAUGGAGACGCCUUUCCUGUCCUUUUGGAUCUUGG